CGCGUAGGCGGUCUUUUAAGUUCCGUGUGAAAUCCCUCGGCUCAACUGGGGAACUGCACGGGAAACUGGGAGGCUUGAGUUCGGGAGAGGGAAGCGGAAUUCCGGGUGUAGCGGUGAAAUGCGUAGAUAUCCGGAGGAACACCGGUGGCGAAGGCGGCUUCCUGGACCGACACUGACGCUGAGGCGCGAAAGCUAGGGGAGCAAACG
This 207-nucleotide ribosomal RNA is filed under the name uncultured bacterium. RNAcentral's name for it is "partial 16S ribosomal RNA". It matches the Rfam family "Bacterial small subunit ribosomal RNA", at positions 568 to 774 of the family's 1533-position model. The record is from RNAcentral.